Molecule: ribosomal RNA, 491 nt
Filed under: uncultured bacterium
Lineage: Bacteria
Description: partial 16S ribosomal RNA
Rfam family: Bacterial small subunit ribosomal RNA
Source: RNAcentral
GUGAACGCUGGCGGUAGGCCUAACACAUGCAAGUCGAACGGCAGCACAGUAAGGGCUUGCUCUUACGGGUGGCGAGUGGCGGACGGGUGAGGAAUACAUCGGAAUCUACUUUUUCGUGGGGGAUAACGUAGGGAAACUUACGCUAAUACCGCAUACGACCUACGGGUGAAAGCAGGGGAUCUUCGGACCUUGCGCGAUUGAAUGAGCCGAUGUCGGAUUAGCUAGUUGGCGGGGUAAAGGCCCACCAAGGCGACGAUCCGUAGCUGGUCUGAGAGGAUGAUCAGCCACACUGGAACUGAGACACGGUCCAGACUCCUACGGGAGGCAGCAGUGGGGAAUAUUGGACAAUGGGCGCAAGCCUGAUCCAGCCAUACCGCGUGGGUGAAGAAGGCCUUCGGGUUGUAAAGCCCUUUUGUUGGGAAAGAAAAGCAGCAGGUUAAUACCCCGCUGUUCUGACGGUACCCAAAGAAUAAGCACCGGCUAACUUCGUG